GGAUAUUAAAUGUUGUUGAUUUUGUGAAUUUAUUUGUGAAUUUAAUUUGAAAACACUAGAUCCAUGGAUCUGGACCCGCGGAUCCGCGGAUUUGACGGAUCUGGAUCUGGAUCCAAAAUUUUCAGAUCCGCGGAUCUGGAUCCGGAUCUGGAUCUGGUAUAUGAAAACGGAUCUGGAUCUGGUAUUGGCCAGACCCGGUCCAGAUCCGGCCCGUU
RNAcentral lists this long non-coding RNA (215 nucleotides) under Salvia miltiorrhiza (redroot sage). RNAcentral's name for it is "long non-coding RNA (SMIL_LNC013561)". The record is from RNAcentral. Lineage: Eukaryota; Viridiplantae; Streptophyta; Magnoliopsida; Lamiales; Lamiaceae.